Molecule: non-coding RNA, 477 nt
Organism: Chrysochloris asiatica (Cape golden mole)
Lineage: Eukaryota; Metazoa; Chordata; Mammalia; Afrosoricida; Chrysochloridae
Source: the annotation of a RefSeq genome assembly
UCUAUCAUGGCCUGGACCCCUCUCCUCCUCUCUCUCAUUGCUCACUGCACAGGAUCCUGGGCCCAGGCUGUGCUGAGUCAGACACCCUCUGUCUCUGGGAAUCCAGGCCAGCAGGUCAGCAUCUCCUGUAUCGGAAGUAGCACCAACAUCGGGGCUGACUACUAUGUGCACUGGUACCAACAGCUCCCAGACACAGCUCCCAAACCCGUCAUCUAUGAUGAUAGCAAACGACCUUCAGGGAUUCCGGAUCGAUUCUCAGGUUCCAAGUCUGGCAACUCUGCCUCCCUGACCAUCGCUGGGCUGCAGCCUGAGGACGAGGCCAUUUAUUUCUGUCAGUCCUAUGAUAACAGUCUGAGUGGUAACACAGUGCUCCAGGUCAACAGGGAAGUGAGACAAAAAACCCAUUCUCAUCUGCCAGGAGGAGAAUGCACUGCAGCUAUUGCUCAGGACCAGCCUGGGCCUUUUGCUUAUUCUUGA